UAGGGAAUAUUAGAAAUGGACGAAAGUCUGAUCUAGCAACACCGCGUGUGCGAAGAAGGCCUUCGGGUUGUAAAGCACUUUUUGGAAGGAUUAGGAAUGAAUGUACUUCCUGAAUAAGUCUCGGCUAACUACGUGCCAGCAGCCGCGGUAACACGUAGGAGGCAAACGUUAUCCGGAUUUACUGGGCGUAAAGCGCGUGUAGGUGGUUCUGUAAGUAGGGCGUGAAAGCUCCUGGCUCAACUGGGAGAGGCCGUUCUAAACUGCAGAGCUAGAGGAUGGUAGAGGGAGGUGGAAUUCCGGGUGUAGCGGUGGAAUGCGCAGAUAUCCGGAGGAACACCAGUGGCGAAGGCGACUUACUGGACUGUAACUGACGCUGAGGCGCGAAAGUGUGGGGAGCAAACA
RNAcentral lists this ribosomal RNA (402 nucleotides) under uncultured prokaryote. RNAcentral's name for it is "bacterial SSU rRNA". It matches the Rfam family "Bacterial small subunit ribosomal RNA", at positions 355 to 774 of the family's 1533-position model. The record is from RNAcentral.